Molecule: ribosomal RNA, 253 nt
Filed under: uncultured bacterium
Lineage: Bacteria
Description: partial 16S ribosomal RNA
Rfam family: Bacterial small subunit ribosomal RNA
Source: RNAcentral
CACGUAGGGGGCUAGCGUUGUCCGGAAUCAUUGGGCGUAAAGCGCGUGUAGGCGGUCCGGUAAGUCCGCUGUGAAAGUCGGGGGCUCAACCCUCGGAUGCCGGUGGAUACUGUCGGGCUUGAGUACGGAAGAGGCGAGUGGAAUUCCUGGUGUAGCGGCGAAAUGCGCAGAUAUCAGGAGGAACACCAAUGGCGAAGGCAGCACUCUGGGACGUGACUGACGCUGAGACGCGAAAGCGUGGGGAGCAAACAGG